GAUGAACGCUGGCGGCGUGCCUAAUACAUGCAAGUCGAGCGGACGGACGAGAAGCUUGCUUCUCUGAUGUUAGCGGCGGACGGGUGAGUAACACGUGGAUAACCUACCUAUAAGACUGUGAUAACUUCGGGAAACCGGAGCUAAUACCGGAUAAUAUUUUGAACCGCAUGGUUCAAAAGUGAAAGACGGUCUUGCUGUCACUUAUAGAUGGAUCCGCGCUGCAUUAGCUAGUUGGUAAGGUAACGGCUUACCAAGGCAACGAUGCAUAGCCGACCUGAGAGGGUGAUCGGCCACACUGGAACUGAGACACGGUCCAGACUCCUACGGGAGGCAGCAGUAGGGAAUCUUCCGCAAUGGGCGAAAGCCUGACGGAGCAACGCCGCGUGAGUGAUGAAGGUCUUCGGAUCGUAAAACUCUGUUAUUAGGGAAGAACAUAUGUGUAAGUAACUGUGCACAUCUUGACGGUACCUAAUCAGAAAGCCACGGCUAACUACGUG
Molecule: ribosomal RNA, 497 nt
Filed under: uncultured bacterium
Lineage: Bacteria
Description: partial 16S ribosomal RNA
Rfam family: Bacterial small subunit ribosomal RNA
Source: RNAcentral